RNAcentral lists this ribosomal RNA (814 nucleotides) under Mastigusa sp. RNAcentral describes it as "SSU rRNA". It matches the Rfam family "Eukaryotic small subunit ribosomal RNA", at positions 52 to 865 of the family's 1831-position model. Lineage: Eukaryota; Metazoa; Arthropoda; Arachnida; Araneae; Hahniidae. The record is from RNAcentral.
UGCAUGUCUAAGUACAUGCCGUAUUAAGGCGAAACCGCGAAUGGCUCAUUAAAUCAGUUAUGGUUCCUUGGAUCGUACCUUACUACUUGGAUAACUGUGGCAAUUCUAGAGCUAAUACAUGCAGCAGAGCUCCGACCCUCAGGGGACGAGCGCUUUUAUUAGACCAAAACCAAUCGGACCUCGUGUCCGUCUCUUGUGGUGACUCUGUAUAACUUUGGGCUGAUCGCACGGGCCCGUCCCGGCGACGUAUCUUUCAAGUGUCUGCCUUAUCAACUUUCGAUGGUAGGUUACGCGCCUACCAUGGUCGUAACGGGUAACGGGGAAUCAGGGUUCGAUUCCGGAGAGGGAGCCUGAGAAACGGCUACCACAUCCAAGGAAGGCAGCAGGCGCGCAAAUUACCCACUCCCAGAACGGGGAGGUAGUGACGAAAAAUAACAAUACGGGACUCUUUUGAGACCCCGUAAUUGGAAUGAGUACACUUUAAAUCCUUUAACGAGGAUCCAUUAGAGGGCAAGUCUGGUGCCAGCAGCCGCGGUAAUUCCAGCUCUAAUAGCGUAUAUUAAAGUUGUUGCGGUUAAAAAGCUCGUAGUUGGAUCUCAGUUCCAGACGGGUGGUCCUCCUUACGGUGGCUACUGCCUGUUCUGAACAGCCAGCCGGUUUCUCUUGAUGAUCUUCACCGGUUGUCUUGGGUGACCGGCAAGUUUACUUUGAAAAAAUUAGAGUGCUCAAAGCAGGCGUGACGCCUGAAUAAUGGUGCAUGGAAUAAUGGAAUAGGACCUCGGUUCUAUUUUGUUGGUUUUCGGAACACGAGGUA